ACGGAGGACCCAAGCGUUACCCGGAAUUACUGGGCGUAAAGCGUGUGCAGGUGGUUUGAUAAGUCGAAUCUUAAAGCUCGAGGCUCAACUUCGAGAUUGGGUUCGAAACUAUUAAACUUGAGGAUGGUAGAGGUGAGUGGAAUUCCCGGAGUAGAGGUGAAAUUUGUAGAUACCGGGAGGAACACCAAUGGCGAAGGCAGCUCACUGGGCCAUUCCUGACGCUCAGACACGAAAGCGUGGGGAGCGAACCGG
RNAcentral lists this ribosomal RNA (252 nucleotides) under uncultured bacterium. RNAcentral's name for it is "partial 16S ribosomal RNA". It matches the Rfam family "Bacterial small subunit ribosomal RNA", at positions 525 to 776 of the family's 1533-position model. The record is from RNAcentral.